GAUGAACGCUGGCGGCGUGCCUAAUACAUGCAAGUCGAGCGAACAGACGAGGAGCUUGCUCCUCUGACGUUAGCGGCGUACGGGUGAGUAACACGUGGAUAACCUACCUAUAGGACUGGGAUAACUUAGGGAAACCGGAGCUAAUACCGGAUAAUAUAUUGAACCGCAUGGUUCAAUAGUGAAAGACGGUUUUGCUGUCACUUAUAGAUGUAUCCGCGCCGCUUUAGAUAGUUGGUAAGGUAACGGCUUACCAAGGCGACGAUGCGUAGCCGACCUGAGAGGGUGUUCGGCCACACUGGAACUGAGACGCGGUCCAGACUCCGACGGGAGGCAGCAGUAGGGAAGCUUCCGCAAUGGGCGAAAGCCUGACGGAGCAACGCCGCGUGAGUGAUGAAGGGCUUCGGAUCGUAAAACGCUGUUAUUAGUGAAGAACAAAUGUGUAAGUAACUAUGCACGUCUUGACGGUACCUAAUCAGAAAGCCACGGCUAACUACGUG
RNAcentral lists this ribosomal RNA (497 nucleotides) under uncultured bacterium. RNAcentral describes it as "partial 16S ribosomal RNA". It matches the Rfam family "Bacterial small subunit ribosomal RNA", at positions 28 to 507 of the family's 1533-position model. The record is from RNAcentral.